UACGUAGGUGGCGAGCGUUGUCCGGAUUUACUGGGCGUAAAGAGCCCGCAGGCGGUCCGUUAAGUUUCAGGUGAAAUCUCCCGGCUCAACCGGGAGGGUGCCUGGAAAACUGGCGGACUUGAGGCAGGGAGAGGGAUGUGGAAUUCCCGGUGUAGUAGUGAAAUGCGUAGAUAUCUGGAGGAACACCGGUGGCGAAGGCGGCAUCCUGGACCGACACUGACGCUGAGGCGCGAAAGCUAGGGGAGCAAACGGG
RNAcentral lists this ribosomal RNA (253 nucleotides) under uncultured bacterium. RNAcentral's name for it is "partial 16S ribosomal RNA". It matches the Rfam family "Bacterial small subunit ribosomal RNA", at positions 524 to 776 of the family's 1533-position model. The record is from RNAcentral.